CUAUGCGCCUUGCCCAGCCCGCUCAGGUGUGCCAGCCGCGCGGUAAUACGGAGGAUGCGAGCGUUAUCCGGAUUUAUUGGGUUUAAAGGGUGCGUGGGCGGAUUUUUAAGUCAGCGGUAAAAUGUCCGGGCUCAACCCGGGCCGGCCGUUGAAACUGGGGAUCUUGAGUGGGCGAGAAGUAUGCGGAAUGCGUGGUGUAGCGGUGAAAUGCAUAGAUAUCACGCAGAACUCCGAUUGCGAAGGCAGCAUACCGGCGCCCGACUGACGCUGAGGCACGAAAGCGUGGGGAUCGAACAGG
This 298-nucleotide ribosomal RNA is filed under the name uncultured bacterium. Its description in RNAcentral is "partial 16S ribosomal RNA". It matches the Rfam family "Bacterial small subunit ribosomal RNA", at positions 479 to 776 of the family's 1533-position model. The record is from RNAcentral.